CUACGGGACGCACCAGUGGGGAAUAUUGCACAAUGGGGGGAACCCUGAUGCAGCAACGCCGCGUGGAGGAUGACGCAUUUCGGUGUGUAAACUCCUUUUAUAUGUCAAGAAAAUGACGGUAGCAUAUGAAUAAGCACCGGCUAACUCCGUGCCAGCAGCCGCGGUAAUACGGAGGGUGCAAGCGUUACUCGGAAUCACUGGGCGUAAAGGACGCGUAGGCGGGUUGGAAAGUCAGGUGCUAAAUCCUACAGCUUAACUGUAGAACUGCACUUGAAACUUCUAAUCUAGAGUAUGGGAGGGGGAGAUGGAAUUAGUGGUGUAGGGGUAAAAUCCGUAGAUAUCACUAGGAAUACCUAAAGCGAAGGCGAUCUCCUGGAACAUUACUGACGCUAAGGCGUGAAAGCGUGGGGAGCAAACAGGAUUAGAUACCCCUGUAGUC
RNAcentral lists this ribosomal RNA (439 nucleotides) under uncultured bacterium. RNAcentral describes it as "partial 16S ribosomal RNA". It matches the Rfam family "Bacterial small subunit ribosomal RNA", at positions 339 to 795 of the family's 1533-position model. The record is from RNAcentral.